CAUACCAUGCUGAAUAUACCGGUUCUCGUUAGAUCACCGAAGUCAAGCAUCAUUGGGCGUGGUCAGUACUUGGGUGGGUGACCACCUGGGAACACCGCGUGCCGUU
Caerostris darwini is the source of this 106-nucleotide non-coding RNA. NCBI's taxonomy places the organism in Eukaryota, Metazoa, Arthropoda, Arachnida, Araneae, Araneidae. The record is from the annotation of a GenBank genome assembly.